Molecule: long non-coding RNA, 280 nt
Filed under: Lathyrus oleraceus (garden pea)
Lineage: Eukaryota; Viridiplantae; Streptophyta; Magnoliopsida; Fabales; Fabaceae
Description: Pisum sativum (pea) long non-coding RNA (PSAT_LNC020825)
Source: RNAcentral
AAUAAAUAGGGUAUAGCUCGCGAAGAAACUGGGUUCUCCUGCCUACCUACCCUCAUUGCACAAUGAGGAAAUUAUAGCUUUCGUAAUUCAGCCCACUAGGGUUGAAAAGAAGAUGAUGGAGGCAAAAGAAAUGAUUGAAUUGAAAUUGAGAUGAUUUGAAUGGAUAGACUUGAUAGCUACUGGAUGAGAAUCACACUAAAGUCUAUGGGUAAAGGUGGAUACGAUAAGCAACGAGCCAAACGUCUCGCACCCAAAGAUAUCCAUAAUGAGUGUAGGAAAG